UGGGGAAUUUUGGACAAUGGGCGAAAGCCUGAUCCAGCAAUGCCGCGUGUGUGAAGAAGGCCUUCGGGUUGUAAAGCACUUUUGUCCGGAAAGAAAUGGCUCUGGUUAAUACCUGGGGUCGAUGACGGUACCGGAAGAAUAAGGACCGGCUAACUACGUGCCAGCAGCCGCGGUAAUACGUAGGGUCCAAGCGUUAAUCGGAAUUACUGGGCGUAAAGCGUGCGCAGGCGGUUGUGCAAGACCGAUGUGAAAUCCCCGAGCUUAACUUGGGAAUUGCAUUGGUGACUGCACGGAUAGAGUGGGUCAGAGGGGGGUAGAAUUCCACGUGUAGCAGUGAAAUGCGUAGAGAUGUGGAGGAAUACCGAUGGCGAAGGCAGCCCCCUGGGAUAACACUGACGCUCAUGCACGAAAGCGUGGGGAGCAAACAGG
Molecule: ribosomal RNA, 429 nt
Filed under: bacterium
Lineage: Bacteria
Description: partial 16S ribosomal RNA
Rfam family: Bacterial small subunit ribosomal RNA
Source: RNAcentral